RNAcentral lists this long non-coding RNA (1142 nucleotides) under Cyanistes caeruleus (blue tit). Its description in RNAcentral is "lncRNA (ENSCCEG00000007712.1)". Lineage: Eukaryota; Metazoa; Chordata; Aves; Passeriformes; Paridae. The record is from RNAcentral.
GUUUUGUAUUUUUAACAAUAAUAAUUAACAGGAAACAAUCUAAAAUCAAUACUUACUCAAGUAAGUAUUUACUGUGGUUUACAAUUCCUCUCCAAAUCCUCUAUUUCUAAGGCCAGUGAUAGUAACUUUAGAAAGCGAUUGUUGAUUGGAGAUCUGAACAACUCUACUGCUCUUGAAUUCUAGGAUAAAGCAACAUAUAUUUUAUGUCAAGCUGGCUGUUCUGCACAGCAACUAUCAUGGAGUUAAUUUUUAUUUUGAAAUUUUAAUUAUAUCUGCAGAUGUACUGUGCAAUAGGCUGCUCUGUUUGAAGCAGGAGUUUUCUCCUCGUUCAUAGAAUUAUUUUUGUGUCAUAACAGGGGAAAAAUGCCAUUGAUACCUAAUCUUCCCCUUGGUGUUCUGUAAAGAUUAUAUGAACAUCUGAAAAUACAUAGGGAAUGAAACCUGAAACAUUUUCUUUGACAGCACAGUAAGAAACACACCGUUGUCAUAAAAAGGUGUUUAAAAGGACUGGAAAUCAGGAAGAGCUCUUGCUCUGAGGGCUCUGGACUGACUGCAACAGUCUCUGCAAGCCAGCUCAGGUAUGGAAAGGAGUCUACCCAAGUCAGCAUGAAACUCCACACUCUUUUAUUUAACAUGGACAGAAAGCUUUUCAGUUUUUUCUCAGAGUACUUGCCUUGACAGUUCCUUAAUAUUUUGCUUUUAAUGCACUGGUUUUUUUAGGAAAAAAACUAGUCAGUUAAUGAAGUUAUUAAUGAAACCAGAAGAUACACUUUUUCUGUCUAAUCUAUAUUAGUGCAAGAUUAAAAUCUCAACAGUAUGUCAAGACUGCAGUGACUAUCCAUCAAAGCAUUUUGUUUUGUGUUGAAGCAGCACUAGAGGUUUGAAGUGAUCCCAUUUCUGAUUUGUCAUUUGAAUCUGCAGACCCCUUUUGGUGGAUGCACACUGGUUUCUUUUCAGAAGACAGUAAGACAGAGUCUCCACUCCAGGUGCACAUCAGCUUUUUAGUGCUGGAUGUUUUGUCAGCAAUGGCUCUGGGAUCUGAACAGCUGCAAGAUGGUCUUAAGAACUGCUGAAGUCUUUACACAAGACUUCACUGCAGCCUGAACUGGCUGCCUGUAAAAGCAGAGCACCCUGCAAAACUU